AACGAACGCUGGCGGCGUGCCUAACACAUGCAAGUCGUGCGAGAAAGUUCCUUCGGGAACCGGUAAAGCGGCGCACGGGUGAGUAACACGUAGGUAACCUGCCCCUUAGUCUGGAACAACUAGAGGAAACUCUAGCUAAUGCCGGAUGAGACCACGGCCCCCUCGGGGGCUGCGGCCAAAGAUGGCCUCUGCUUGCAAGCUAUCGCUGAGGGAUGGGCCUGCGGGCCAUUAGCUUGUUGGUGAGGUAACGGCUCACCAAGGCAAUGAUGGUUAGCUGGUCUGAGAGGAUGACCAGCCACACUGGGACUGAGACACGGCCCAGACUCCUACGGGUGGCUG
RNAcentral lists this ribosomal RNA (339 nucleotides) under uncultured Pseudomonadota bacterium. Its description in RNAcentral is "bacterial SSU rRNA". It matches the Rfam family "Bacterial small subunit ribosomal RNA", at positions 29 to 351 of the family's 1533-position model. The record is from RNAcentral. Lineage: Bacteria; Pseudomonadati; Pseudomonadota.